This is a non-coding RNA of Brachypodium distachyon (stiff brome), 134 nucleotides long. NCBI's taxonomy places the organism in Eukaryota, Viridiplantae, Streptophyta, Magnoliopsida, Poales, Poaceae. The record is from Rfam.
AACAUAUUUUUCCGUUCAACAAAGAAUGUCUCAAUUUUGACUAAAUUUGAAUGCAUCUAUACAUUAAGUCAUGUUUAGAUCCAUCCAAAUUUUGACAAACUUAGACAUUUUUUGUUGGACGGAGGGAGUAUUAC